UGAGUUCCUGUAUAAUUUAUGUUUCUGCCUCUCAUACAUCUGGCGACGUGGUCGUCAAAGUAUUCGCAAAUACUAUCACUUGCGAGACAUAUAUUCAAAUCAUUUGGCGUUUGAGGUCGGCUACAUCAAUCAUGUCAUAAUGGCAAAGUAUCAAAACAUGUUGGAACUCUAUCAGUUCAGCAUUACAAAA
Molecule: long non-coding RNA, 190 nt
Organism: Cydia amplana
Lineage: Eukaryota; Metazoa; Arthropoda; Insecta; Lepidoptera; Tortricidae
Exons: 3
Source: RefSeq, a predicted model, not a curated record